CAAAAUGUAGCUUAACAAAAGCCCCCUGCUUACACCUAGGAGAUAUCUGUUUAACUCAGAUCAUUUUGA
This 69-nucleotide transfer RNA is filed under the name Rana coreana (Korean brown frog). RNAcentral describes it as "tRNA-Val". It matches the Rfam family "tRNA". Rfam says of the family: Transfer RNA (tRNA) molecules are approximately 80 nucleotides in length. The record is from RNAcentral. Lineage: Eukaryota; Metazoa; Chordata; Amphibia; Anura; Ranidae.